RNAcentral lists this long non-coding RNA (346 nucleotides) under Sorghum bicolor (sorghum). RNAcentral's name for it is "long non-coding RNA (SBIC_LNC013558)". The record is from RNAcentral. Lineage: Eukaryota; Viridiplantae; Streptophyta; Magnoliopsida; Poales; Poaceae.
UGGCCUUGUUUAUAUCUAAUUUUUUUUUGGAUUUUAACACUGUAGUAUUUUUAUUUUUAUUUGACAAACAUUAUCCAAUCAUAAAGUAACUAGGCUUAAAAGAUCUGUCUCGUGAUUUACAGGUAAAUUAUACAAUUAGUUAUCUUUUUUAUCUAUAUUUAAUGUUCUAUGCAUAUACCAGAAGAUUCGAUCUGACGGAAAAUCUUAUAAAGUUUUGGAUUUUUUGGUGCAUCUAAACAAGCCGUGAGAACUUUGAGAGUCGUUUCGCAACAUGCAUCUCUACCGCUUUCUCUGUUUGACAUGGGCCUAAAGACUAGUAGUGUAAUUGUGAAAAUACUGUUUGCUG